UCUAUACGGUUUGCUGCGAAAAACAAUUGAAAUUUAUAUUUUAUUUGAAACAAGAUUAAGUGAAACUGAACUUUUUUAUACAAUGGACCUUUAUGCACCAGGUUCUUCUGGGUUAACUGUUUUAUCAAGACACAGUAUAUAUAUGAUGACUAAGAACAUAAAUGAGAAGAGUUUUAGCGAAAAAAUAGAUAAGGUACAAGAAAUAAUAAUAAAUAAAUACAGUUUAAAUAGUAAGGAAAGGAAAA
Molecule: unclassified non-coding RNA, 245 nt
Filed under: Melitaea cinxia (Glanville fritillary)
Lineage: Eukaryota; Metazoa; Arthropoda; Insecta; Lepidoptera; Nymphalidae
Description: misc RNA ENSMCXG00005008589.1
Source: RNAcentral